Long non-coding RNA from Triticum dicoccoides, 1331 nucleotides. RefSeq lists it as uncharacterized. Lineage: Eukaryota; Viridiplantae; Streptophyta; Magnoliopsida; Poales; Poaceae. The transcript has 3 exons. The record is from RefSeq and is a predicted model, not a curated record.
GAUAAAACAAAAUUCUCACACAAAUCUCACCCCCACCAUGCCCCUGGCUCUCGGUCGAGCUCCUCUCCCCCACGAUCUCGUCGUCGCCGCCACCACCCACGCCGGCCGGUUCCGGCGAUCUCCGGCCGCAUGCAACAUGCCCCCAAGCUCCGCCCUACCCUCCCCUCCAUCCAGAUCCAUGCCUCAAGGUCUGCACCCUUGCCCACGGCUAGGGAUUCGGGCGCCCCCAUGUUCUUGCCGUCGAGUACCCAGGUCGGCCCGCUGGCCAACGAGCAGCACCCCGCACUUACGCGUGCCCAGGCCGACGAGUAGUACGGGGAUUGGCCGCGGACGGAGACGAGUGCAGGCGCGGCAGCAGGAGAAGCUAUGGCAGUGGCGGAUCUGGUGACCGCCGGGUUGGCUCGUCAUUCGUGGCCGGCCGGAGUCGCGGUGAGGCACUGUCGUUGGUGGAUUCCGGUGGCUGGCUGAAGGCCAAUUGCUCUUGGACGCCACUGCAGCUGCUCGUUUCUGAAUUUUCAGUAAUGCGGCUAGCUAUGCCAAGUGCGUUUUCUGAAUUUUCCAGUCCGCGUGAUUGUGAUUCUCGUGUCGUUGAUAGCUUGGAGCAGUCGGUUCCGGUCCAUCUACUACUCGUGACCGGGAAUGAAGGAUCAUGUCGCUGAUAGUUCAGGAUUCCAAGAUCAAAUUAUCUGGGCUGGGGCAAGAAAAGGAACAUGCUCCGGUCUCCGGCAAUCUAAUAGAUUCAGUAAGGACUGUAAGCUGAUCACAUAGUGUUUUGAAGGAGUAAUAUCAAAUAUGUUGCAGGAUUCAUGGUUUGGGAGAAACUUGUGCAUUGAGUUCAAUAUAAGGAAAAGCUUGAGAAGGUUGCCUUUUGUUCUUGCAAGAUGUAGCACUCAUGGUGAUGAUAAAUAUAUUCUUUUCAAUUUGUUUCUGAUAAUGCCUUGCUUUUUUUAUACAAAGUUAUGACCACAAAAUUAUGCUCAUAAAAAAUUAUUUUUCAUCACCAUAUAAAAAUAGCAUAUGUACACAUAAUGUAUCGAAGGGCGCGGCGUGUUGCCGCGUGGGCAUGGCUACUAUAUACUAUGCUAUUGUUACUUAGUGCUCUAUAGGUUACUGUUAUACUGUACUAAAGCUCCAGGUUCUUUUGAGUUCCUAGGAGUGGUCUUGGUUCAUUGUUUAAUUCCAGGAUUUGUGAGUUCCUAGUAGGGAACACAUGGACAUGAAGCUAUGGCGGCGACGAAGGUGAUAUCGACAUGGGGCUGCGGCGACGAUGAUUACGACAACAUCGACAUCAACACAGGGCUACGGUGGCGACCAAGACGACGACAUCGUCA